RNAcentral lists this ribosomal RNA (253 nucleotides) under uncultured bacterium. Its description in RNAcentral is "partial 16S ribosomal RNA". It matches the Rfam family "Bacterial small subunit ribosomal RNA", at positions 524 to 776 of the family's 1533-position model. The record is from RNAcentral.
UACAGAGGGUGCAAGCGUUAAUCGGAAUGACUGGGCGUAAAGGGCACGUAGGCGGAUAGAUGUGUCAUAGGUGAAAUCCCCGGGCUUAACCUGGGAACUGCCUGUGAAACUGUGUAUCUAGAAUAGAGUAGAGGUAAGUGGAAUUUCCGGUGUAGCGGUGAAAUGCGUAGAUAUCGGAAAGAACACCAGUGGCGAAGGCGACUUACUGGACUCAUAUUGACGCUGAGGUGCGAAAGCGUGGGGAGCAAACGGG